RNAcentral lists this ribosomal RNA (301 nucleotides) under uncultured bacterium. RNAcentral's name for it is "partial 16S ribosomal RNA". It matches the Rfam family "Bacterial small subunit ribosomal RNA", at positions 509 to 807 of the family's 1533-position model. The record is from RNAcentral.
CAGCAGCCGCGGUAAUACGAAGGGUGCAAGCGUUAAUCGGAAUUACUGGGCGUAAAGCGUGCGUAGGCGGUGAGUUAAGUCUGCUGUGAAAUCCCCGGGCUCAACCUGGGAAUGGCAGUGGAUACUGGCUCGCUAGAGUGUGUCAGAGGAUGGUGGAAUUCCCGGUGUAGCGGUGAAAUGCGUAGAGAUCGAGAGGAACAUCAGUGGCGAAGGCGGCCAUCUGGGACAACACUGACGCUGAGGCACGAAAGCGUGGGGAGCAAACAGGAUUAGAUACCCCGGUAGUCCCUGUCUCUUAUAC